GGCAUGCUUAUUUAAGAUGGUGAGGAAGGCACUUUUAAAGAAUAACCAGGCAUCCUCUACUGACGGGAUGAGGUCAAUAUCCUUCCAGGAUACCCUGGCCAGGUCGAUUAGAAAGGCCUGCUUGCUGAAGUGUUUUAGGGAGCGUUUGACAGUGAUGAGGGGUGGUCCACGGGAGGGGUGCGUCACUUGAGUGGGUUGAGUCACUGACGUGGUCUUCCUGUCUGGGUUGUCCCCCCCCUCCCCCCCUCCUUGGUUUGUGCCGUGGCGGAGCUCUUUGUGGGCUAUACUCGGCCUUGUCUUAGGACGGUAAGUUGGUGGUUGGAGACAUCCCUCUAGUGGUGUGGGGGCUGUGCUUUGGCAAAGUGGGUGGGGUUAUAUCCUGCCUGUUUGGCCCUGUCCGGGGGUAUCAUCGGAUGGGGCCACAGUGUCUUCUGAUCCCUCCUGUCUCAGCCUCCAGUAUUUAUGCUGCAGUAGUUUAUGUGUCGGGGGGCUAGGGUCAGUCUGUUACAUCUGGAGUAUUUCUCUUGUCUUAUCCGGUGUCCUGUGUGAAUUUAAAUAUGCUCUCUCUAAUUCUCUCUUUCUUUCUCUCGGAGGACCUGAGCCCUAGGACCAUGCCUCAGGACUACCUGGCAUGAUUACUCCUUGCUGUUCCCAGUCCACCUGGCCGUGCUGCUGCUCCAGUUUCAACUGUUCUGCCUGCGGCUAUGGAACCCUGACCUGUUCACCGGACGUGCUUGUUGCACCCUCGACAAUUACUAUGAUUAUUAUUAUUUGACCAUGCUGGUCAUUUAUGAACAUUUUAACAUCUUGACCAUGUUCUGUUAUAAUAUCCACCCGGCACAGCCAGAAGAGAACUGGCCACCCCUCAUAGCCUGGUUCCUCUCUAGGUUUCUUUCUAGGUUUUUGGCCUUUCUAGGGAGUUUUUCCUAGGGAGUUUUUCCUAGCCACCGUGCUUCUUUCACAUGCAUUGCUUGCUAUUUGGGGUUUUAGGCUGGGUUUCUGUACAGCACUUUGAGAUAUCAACUGAUGUACGAAGGGCUAUAUAAAUAAAUUUGAUUUGAUCUAAAGAAUAAUUUUAAUGGAGGUAUUUUCCACUCCGACUGUGACCCUUUUGGUCACUUUCUUUGUCUUGUUAUCAUCUGUAACAUCAUUAUUAUUAUUACCAACAUUUAUGGGUACAAUUCCAAACUUGAAAAUGAUCAGUUCC
This 1207-nucleotide long non-coding RNA is filed under the name Salmo salar (Atlantic salmon). RNAcentral's name for it is "lncRNA (ENSSSAG00000111946.1)". Lineage: Eukaryota; Metazoa; Chordata; Actinopteri; Salmoniformes; Salmonidae. The record is from RNAcentral.